This 1428-nucleotide ribosomal RNA is filed under the name uncultured organism. RNAcentral describes it as "16S ribosomal RNA". It matches the Rfam family "Bacterial small subunit ribosomal RNA". The record is from RNAcentral.
GCAGGCUUAACACAUGCAAGUCGAGGGGCAGCAUGGUCUUAGCUUGCUAAGGCCGAUGGCGACCGGCGCACGGGUGAGUAACACGUAUCCAACCUGCCGUCUACUCUUGGACAGCCUUCUGAAAGGAAGAUUAAUACAAGAUGGCAUCAUGAGUCCGCAUGUUCACAUGAUUAAAGGUAUUCCGGUAGACGAUGGGGAUGCGUUCCAUUAGAUAGUAGGCGGGGUAACGGCCCACCUAGUCUUCGAUGGAUAGGGGUUCUGAGAGGAAGGUCCCCCACAUUGGAACUGAGACACGGUCCAAACUCCUACGGGAGGCAGCAGUGAGGAAUAUUGGUCAAUGGGCGAGAGCCUGAACCAGCCAAGUAGCGUGAAGGAUGACUGCCCUAUGGGUUGUAAACUUCUUUUAUAAAGGAAUAAAGUCGGGUAUGCAUACCCGUUUGCAUGUACUUUAUGAAUAAGGAUCGGCUAACUCCGUGCCAGCAGCCGCGGUAAUACGGAGGAUCCGAGCGUUAUCCGGAUUUAUUGGGUUUAAAGGGAGCGUAGAUGGAUGUUUAAGUCAGUUGUGAAAGUUUGCGGCUCAACCGUAAAAUUGCAGUUGAUACUGGAUAUCUUGAGUGCAGUUGAGGCAGGCGGAAUUCGUGGUGUAGCGGUGAAAUGCUUAGAUAUCACGAAGAACUCCGAUUGCGAAGGCAGCCUGCUAAGCUGCAACUGACAUUGAGGCUCGAAAGUGUGGGUAUCAAACAGGAUUAGAUACCCUGGUAGUCCACACGGUAAACGAUGAAUACUCGCUGUUUGCGAUAUACAGCAAGCGGCCAAGCGAAAGCGUUAAGUAUUCCACCUGGGGAGUACGCCGGCAACGGUGAAACUCAAAGGAAUUGACGGGGGCCCGCACAAGCGGAGGAACAUGUGGUUUAAUUCGAUGAUACGCGAGGAACCUUACCCGGGCUUAAAUUGCAGAUGAAUUACGGUGAAAGCCGUAAGCCGCAAGGCAUCUGUGAAGGUGUUGCAUGGUUGUCGUCAGCUCGUGCCGUGAGGUGUCGGCUUAAGUGCCAUAACGAGCGCAACCCUUGUUGUCAGUUACUAACAGGUUCCGCUGAGGACUCUGACAAGACUGCCAUCGUAAGAUGUGAGGAAGGUGGGGAUGACGUCAAAUCAGCACGGCCCUUACGUCCGGGGCUACACACGUGUUACAAUGGGGGGUACAGAGGGCCGCUACCACGCGAGUGGAUGCCAAUCCCAAAAACCUCUCUCAGUUCGGACUGGAGUCUGCAACCCGACUCCACGAAGCUGGAUUCGCUAGUAAUCGCGCAUCAGCCACGGCGCGGUGAAUACGUUCCCGGGCCUUGUACACACCGCCCGUCAAGCCAUGGGAGCCGGGGGUACCUGAAGUGCGUAACCAAGAGGAGCGCCCUAGGGUAAAACUGGUGA